Long non-coding RNA from Olea europaea var. sylvestris, 1796 nucleotides. RefSeq lists it as uncharacterized. Lineage: Eukaryota; Viridiplantae; Streptophyta; Magnoliopsida; Lamiales; Oleaceae. The record is from RefSeq and is a predicted model, not a curated record. The transcript is spliced from 3 exons.
CAAAAUAGAAGACAAGUUAACCUAAAUUCCCAAUCUUCGCUUACAACCUCGCUCUCAAUCUCUCAGUCUCACUUGUCACUCACCGUCGCCAUAGCCGACGCCACCUCUCCGAUAGUCCACGGUGCUCUCAAUCUCUCAGUCUUCUCUCACAGCCUUGCUCUCAACAAAUAAUUAGAAAUAUUUAGUGCAUCUCUCUCACUCUCAAUCUGUCACGCACUUGCCGGCGCCGCCUCUCCAGUAGUGCAUGGUGAAAGCCCAAAGGUCGCCACCACCGGUUUUUCUAAUUAAUUGUUGGUUUUGUACAAAAGGUACCGUAAGGCUCUUCAAUUGUUUGAGAUUUUGGCAUGCGAGGAUGAUAAUGAUAUUAACUGUAGUACUUAUGAUUCUUUGGUUAGUGCUUGCAUUGGUUUGAAAUCAAUUAGAGGUGUCAAAAGGGUGUUUAAUUGUAUGCUAAAUUCUGGGUUUGAGCCGGAUUUGUAUAUAAGAAACAGGGUGCUGUUGAUGCACGUGAAAUGCGGGAUGAUGAUCGAUGCACAUAGGUUGUUUGACACUAUGCCUGAAAGAAACUUGGUUUCUUGGAAUAUCAUAAUUUGGGGGGCUUGUGGAUAUUGGAGAUUAUGCAGAGGCAUUUAGUAGGGAUUACAAGGUGAAACCUAGAGCAAUGCACUGUACUUGUAUGAUUGAAUUAUUAGGCCGAGAAGGGCUUCUGGAUGAAGCUUUUGCAUUGAUAAGAGAUGCUCCAUUCAGGCCUACUAUAAACAUGUGGGCUGCUUUACUUACAGCUUGUAGGAUUCACAAGAAUUUUGUGCUUGGGAAAUUUGCUGUUAAGAAAUUUUAUGGGAUGGGACCAGAAAAGCUGUCUAAUUAUGUUGUACUUUUGAAUAAUUAUACGAAUGCUGAAGUCGUGAAAACCUUGGAGAGAAAACGGCAGUUAGUUAGUGUUUACCUCGUGUAUAUCAUAUUCACUUGAUGAUAGUAAUAAAUACACAAUCAAAAUUCACUUUGCUAAAUAUGCAGUAGUAACAUAAAAAAUGAAUCAGUUUUGUCUCUCCAUGCUGAUUGUAAGUUUUUUGAGACACCAAAAGCUCAUUAUGUCACACAACUUUAAUAUCGACAUUAGCGAAUGCUUGCAUAUUCAACAUUGAAUUUUCUACCAACUUUUAAGCUGACAUAAUAUCGUAAAUAUUUUACAGUUUCAUAAGGUUAGAUUUAACCAUUGUCUUACUGGUGCAUGUUUUAGCUCUUUUGUAAUUGAAAAUUGAAUGUUUAGCAUAUAGCCUUAAGUUUGCAGUUUUUCUGUAUUAUCUCAGUCUUCGCCGAAAUUGUCUGUCAAUUCAGCUCGCAAUUACAUUGGAUCAAAGCACUAUGCUGCUAGGACUAUCUACUAUCUAGUGCUAGCGAAGUUGAAAAAAAUGUGUUUUUGAGAAUUCAGGUGCUGACCCAAGAAAUAGUUACGCGCAGGCAAGUAUUGCCACUUCUUUAUGCUGGGCUGGCUUUUGGAUAUCUCCAUCCUGUAUGCCUCCUGUUGGUGCAAAUUUAAACACCUUGAUGAUCAUCUUGUGGACAUUAGCUUUAAGGCUAGGACCGAUAUUUAAGGCACAACUCAUGUCGAAGAUUGCUGAGAAGAAAAUUAAGGAGGCCGAUAGGAUGAUUUCACACGCUACUUAGUUAGUGAUUUUUUUUUUUUUUUUUUGGGAAAAUGUAUUGGAUUUUUAGGUGUUUUAGAAUUUUGGAUCUGAAUUUUGUACGAAUAUUGUUACAUUUUAGAAUUCAAUGAAUAAUGAUUAUUGGAGUUA